Molecule: ribosomal RNA, 304 nt
Filed under: uncultured beta proteobacterium
Lineage: Bacteria; Pseudomonadati; Pseudomonadota; Betaproteobacteria
Description: bacterial SSU rRNA
Rfam family: Bacterial small subunit ribosomal RNA
Source: RNAcentral
UGAUAAACUGGAGGAAGGUGGGGAUGACGUCAAGUCAUCAUGGCCCUUACGACCAGGGCUACACACGUGCUACAAUGGCGCAUACAAAGAGAAGCGACCUCGCGAGAGCAAGCGGACCUCAUAAAGUGCGUCGUAGUCCGGAUUGGAGUCUGCAACUCGACUCCAUGAAGUCGGAAUCGCUAGUAAUCGUGGAUCAGAAUGCCACGGUGAAUACGUUCCCGGGCCUUGUACACACCGCCCGUCACACCAUGGGAGUGGGUGCAAAAGAAGUAGGUAGCUUAACUUCGGGAGGGCGCUUACCACU